RNAcentral lists this ribosomal RNA (429 nucleotides) under uncultured bacterium. RNAcentral's name for it is "bacterial SSU rRNA". It matches the Rfam family "Bacterial small subunit ribosomal RNA", at positions 355 to 775 of the family's 1533-position model. The record is from RNAcentral.
UGGGGAAUUGUUCGCAAUGGGCGCAAGCCUGACGACGCAACGCCGCGUGGAGGAUGAAGAUUUUCGGAUCGUAAACUCCUGUCGAGCGGGAAGAACACCUACCUGGCGAAUAUCCGGGUGGGCUGACGGUACCGCUAAAGGAAGCCCCGGCUAACUCCGUGCCAGCAGCCGCGGUAAUACGGGGGGGGCAAGCGUUGUUCGGAAUUACUGGGCGUAAAGGGCUCGUAGGCGGCCAACUAAGUCAGACGUGAAAUCCCCAGGCUUAACCUGGGAACUGCGUCUGAUACUGGAUGGCUUGAAUCCGGGAGAGGGAUGCAGAAUUCCAGGUGUAGCGGUGAAAUGCGUAGAUAUCUGGAGGAAUACCGGUGGCGAAGGCGGCAUCCUGGACCGGCAUUGACGCUGAGGAGCGAAAGCCAGGGGAGCAAACGG